AUUGAACGCUGGCGGCAUGCCUUACACAUGCAAGUCGAACGGUAACGCGGGGCAACCUGGCGACGAGUGGCGAACGGGUGAGUAAUGUAUCGGAACGUGCCCAGUUGUGGGGGAUAACUGCUCGAAAGAGCAGCUAAUACCGCAUACGACCUGAGGGUGAAAGCGGGGGAUCGCAAGACCUCGCGCAAUUGGAGCGGCCGAUAUCAGAUUAGGGAGUUGGUGGGGUAAAGGCUCACCAAGCCGACGAUCUGUAGCUGGUCUGAGAGGACGACCAGCCACACUGGGACUGAGACACGGCCCAGACUCCUACGGGAGGCAGCAGUGGGGAAUUUUGGACAAUGGACGCAAGUCUGAUCCAGCCAUGCCGCGUGCGGGAAGAAGGCCUUCGGGUUGUAAACCGCUUUUGUCAGGGAAGAAAAGGCUCCUUCUAAUAUAGGGGGCUCAUGACGGUACCUGAAGAAUAAGCACUGGCUAACUACGUGCCAGCCGCCGCCGUAA
This 498-nucleotide ribosomal RNA is filed under the name uncultured bacterium. RNAcentral's name for it is "partial 16S ribosomal RNA". It matches the Rfam family "Bacterial small subunit ribosomal RNA", at positions 29 to 523 of the family's 1533-position model. The record is from RNAcentral.